CGAUUUUUUUUAUCAUGAUUAUAAAAAAUUGCCGGGAUAGCUCAGU
This 46-nucleotide transfer RNA is filed under the name Riccardia vohimanensis. RNAcentral describes it as "Riccardia sp. CR-2017c partial tRNA-Phe". Lineage: Eukaryota; Viridiplantae; Streptophyta; Jungermanniopsida; Metzgeriales; Aneuraceae. The record is from RNAcentral.